Molecule: ribosomal RNA, 429 nt
Filed under: Acidobacteriota bacterium
Lineage: Bacteria; Pseudomonadati; Acidobacteriota
Description: Acidobacteria bacterium partial 16S ribosomal RNA
Rfam family: Bacterial small subunit ribosomal RNA
Source: RNAcentral
UGGGGAAUUUUGGACAAUGGGGGAAACCCUGAUCCAGCCAUCCCGCGUGUGCGAUGAAGGCCUUCGGGUUGUAAAGCACUUUUGGCAGGAAAGAAACGUCAUGGGUUAAUACCCCGUGAAACUGACGGUACCUGCAGAAUAAGCAUCGGCUAACUACGUGCCAGCAGCCGCGGUAAUACGUAGGGUGCAAGCGUUAAUCGGAAUUACUGGGCGUAAAGCGUGCGCAGGCGGUUCGGAAAGAAAGAUGUGAAAUCCCAGAGCUCAACUUUGGAACUGCAUUUUUAGCUACCGGGCUAGAGUGUGUCAGAGGGAGGUUGAAUUCCGCGUGUAGCAGUGAAAUGCAUAGAUAUGCGGAGGAACACCGAUGGCGAAGGCAGCCUCCUGGGAUAACACUGACGCUCAUGCACGAAAGCGUGGGGAGCAAACAGG